GGGGAUUUGGCUCAGUGGUAGAGCACUUGCCUAGCAAGCACAAGGCCCUGGGUUCGGUUCCCAGCUCCG
This 69-nucleotide transfer RNA is filed under the name Rattus norvegicus (Norway rat). It matches the Rfam family "tRNA". Rfam says of the family: Transfer RNA (tRNA) molecules are approximately 80 nucleotides in length. Their secondary structure includes four short double-helical elements and three loops (D, anti-codon, and T loops). Lineage: Eukaryota; Metazoa; Chordata; Mammalia; Rodentia; Muridae. The record is from Rfam by way of RNAcentral.